AUUGAACGCUGGCGGCAUGCUUUACACAUGCAAGUCGAACGGCAGCGCGGGCUUCGGCCUGGCGGCGAGUGGCGAACGGGUGAGUAAUGCAUCGGAACGUGCCCAGUAGUGGGGGAUAGCCCGGCGAAAGCCGGAUUAAUACCGCAUACGACCUGAGGGUGAAAGCGGGGGACCGAAAGGCCUCGCGCUAUUGGAGCGGCCGAUGUCGGAUUAGCUAGUUGGUGGGGUAAAGGCUUACCAAGGCGACGAUCCGUAGCUGGUCUGAGAGGACGACCAGCCACACGGGGACUGAGACGCGGCCCAGACCCCUACGGGAGGCAGGAGGGGGGAAUUUGGGACAAGGGGGGCAACCCUGAUCCAGCCAGGCCGGGGGGGGGAAGAAGGCCUUGGGGUUGUAAACCGUUUUUGUUGGGGAAAAAAUCCUCUGGGCUAAUACCCCGGGGGGAUGGCGGUACCGGAAGAAUAAGCCCCGGCUAACUACGG
Molecule: ribosomal RNA, 483 nt
Filed under: uncultured bacterium
Lineage: Bacteria
Description: partial 16S ribosomal RNA
Rfam family: Bacterial small subunit ribosomal RNA
Source: RNAcentral